GACGAACGCUGGCGGCGUGCUUAACACAUGCAAGUCGAACGGAAAGGCCCUGCUUUUGUGGGGUGCUCGAGUGGCGAACGGGUGAGUAACACGUGAGUAACCUGCCCUCGACUUUGGGAUAACUUCAGGAAACUGGGGCUAAUACCGGAUAGGAGCUCCUGCUGCAUGGUGGGGGUGGGAAAGUUUGGGCGGUUGGGGAUGGACUCGCGGCUUAUCAGCUUGUUGGUGGGGUAGUGGCUUACCAAGGCUUUGACGGGUAGCCGGCCUGAGAGGGUGACCGGCCACAUUGGGACUGAGAUACGGCCCAGACUCCUACGGGAGGCAGCAGUGGGGAAUAUUGCACAAUGGGCGGAAGCCUGAUGCAGCAACGCCGCGUGCGGGAUGACGGCCUUCGGGUUGUAAACCGCUUUCGCCUGUGACGAAGCGUGAGUGACGGUAAUGGGUAAAGAAGCACCGGCUAACUACGUG
Molecule: ribosomal RNA, 468 nt
Filed under: uncultured bacterium
Lineage: Bacteria
Description: partial 16S ribosomal RNA
Rfam family: Bacterial small subunit ribosomal RNA
Source: RNAcentral